UGGGGAAUUUUGGACAAUGGGGGAAACCCUGAUCCAGCCAUCCCGCGUGUGCGAUGAAGGCCUUCGGGUUGUAAAGCACUUUUGGCAGGAAAGAAACGUCAUGGGUUAAUACCCCGUGAAACUGACGGUACCUGCAGAAUAAGCACCGGCUAACUACGUGCCAGCAGCCGCGGUAAUACGUAGGGUGCAAGCGUUAAUCGGAAUUACUGGGCGUAAAGCGUGCGCAGGCGGUUCGGAAAGAAAGAUGUGAAAUCCCAGAGCUCAACUUUGGAACUGCAUUUUUAACUACCGGGCUAGAGUGUGUCAGAGGGAGGUGGAAUUCCGCGUGUAGCAAUGAAAUGCGUAGAUAUGCGGAGGAACACCGAUGGCGAAGGCAGCCUACUGGGAUAACACUGACGAUCAUGCACGAAAGCGUGGGGAGCAAACAGG
RNAcentral lists this ribosomal RNA (429 nucleotides) under Acidobacteriota bacterium. RNAcentral's name for it is "Acidobacteria bacterium partial 16S ribosomal RNA". It matches the Rfam family "Bacterial small subunit ribosomal RNA", at positions 355 to 776 of the family's 1533-position model. Lineage: Bacteria; Pseudomonadati; Acidobacteriota. The record is from RNAcentral.